UACAGAGGGUGCGAGCGUUAAUCGGAAUUAUUGGGCGUAAAGGGCUCGUAGGCGGUCCAUCGCGUCGGGAGUGAAAAGCUGGGGCUUAACCCCAGUCCUGCUUCCGAUACGGGUGGACUAGAGGUAGGUAGGGGAGAUCGGAAUUCCUGGUGUAGCGGUGAAAUGCGCAGAUAUCAGAAGGAACACCGGUGGCGAAGGCGGAUCUCUGGGCCGUAACUGACGCUGAGGAGCGAAAGCAUGGGGAGCGAACAGG
This 253-nucleotide ribosomal RNA is filed under the name uncultured bacterium. Its description in RNAcentral is "partial 16S ribosomal RNA". It matches the Rfam family "Bacterial small subunit ribosomal RNA", at positions 524 to 776 of the family's 1533-position model. The record is from RNAcentral.